CCUACGGGAGGCAGCAGUGGGGGAUAUUGCACAAUGGAGGGAACUCUGAUGCAGCGACGCCGCGUGAGGGAAGAAGGUUUUCGGAUUGUAAACCUCUGUCUUCGGUGACGAAACGAGACGGUAGCAGAGGAGGAAGCUCCGGCUAACUACGUGCCAGCAGCCGCGGUAAUACGUAGGGAGCAAGCGUUGUCCGGAUUUACUGGUGGUAAAGGGUGCGUAGGCGGCCUUGCAAGUCAGAAGUGAAAUCCAUGGGCUUAACCCGUGAACUGCUUUUGAAACUGUAGGGCUUGAGUGAAGUAGAGGCAGGCGGAAUUCCCGGUGUAGCGGUGAAAUGCGUAGAGAUCGGGAGGAACACCAGUGGCGAAGGCGGCCUGCUGGGCUUUAACUGACGCUGAAGCACGAAAGCGUGGGUAGCAAACAGGAUUAGAUACCCCAGUAGUC
RNAcentral lists this ribosomal RNA (441 nucleotides) under uncultured bacterium. RNAcentral's name for it is "partial 16S ribosomal RNA". It matches the Rfam family "Bacterial small subunit ribosomal RNA", at positions 338 to 795 of the family's 1533-position model. The record is from RNAcentral.